GGGCUCAUAAAUCUUUCUUUCUUUUCUUUUUUUAUGGAAUUUUGUCCAAUAAUUUUCUGGCAGCCCAUCAAUUCUUUUUGUAACAUAUAUUUUAUAGAGGAAUAAGAGAUAAAACUUAGAACAUUGAACUUAAGAUAAUUGGCUAGCAAAUAAGCAAGGGAAAUAUUUUUGGUGUUCACUCUUAGUGUAAGAGUGGAACAUCUUUGGAUAGGUAAAUAUGGAAUAUUUAUGUGGUGCGUACUUCUAGAGUAGAAGCAGCAAAAGGGUGAACAUGAGUGUGCGUGAUACCGGUAUUAGUUAUAUGAUGAGUUCCUAAGGGUCAACAUAGCUCGAGCAAACACAAAGCCCUAUAUAUAUGUGGAGGCUUCCUAUUCUAAAUAAAUAUGGCCAUGGUAGGAAUUUUAUAUUCUUUAUCAUACAUAGAACUCAUCAUGAAGCAUUUUAAUUUUCAUAAAAUAAACCUCU
This 465-nucleotide long non-coding RNA is filed under the name Sorghum bicolor (sorghum). RNAcentral's name for it is "long non-coding RNA (SBIC_LNC015990)". Lineage: Eukaryota; Viridiplantae; Streptophyta; Magnoliopsida; Poales; Poaceae. The record is from RNAcentral.